CUACGUGCCAGCAGCCGCGGUAAUACGUAGGUCCCGAGCGUUGUCCGGAUUUAUUGGGCGUAAAGCGCGUCUAGGUGGUUAUAUAAGUCUGAUGUGAAAAUGCAGGGCUCAACUCUGUAUUGCGUUGGAAACUGUAUAACUAGAGUACUGGAGAGGUAAGCGGAACUACAAGUGUAGAGGUGAAAUUCGUAGAUAUUUGUAGGAAUGCCGAUGGGGAAGCCAGCUUACUGGACAGAUACUGACGCUGAAGCGCGAAAGCGUGGGUAGCAAACAGGAUUAGAUACCCUGGUAGUCCACGCUGUAAACGAUGAUUACUAGGUGUUGGGGGUCGAACCUCAGCGCCCAAGCAAACGCGAUAAGUAAUCCGCCUGGGGAGUACGUACGCAAGUAUGAAACUCAAAGGAAUUGACGGGGACCCGCACAAGCGGUGGAGCAUGUGGUUUAAUUCGACGCAACGCGAGGAACCUUACCAGCGUUUGACAUC
This 484-nucleotide ribosomal RNA is filed under the name uncultured bacterium. RNAcentral describes it as "bacterial SSU rRNA". It matches the Rfam family "Bacterial small subunit ribosomal RNA", at positions 501 to 988 of the family's 1533-position model. The record is from RNAcentral.